Molecule: ribosomal RNA, 483 nt
Filed under: uncultured bacterium
Lineage: Bacteria
Description: partial 16S ribosomal RNA
Rfam family: Bacterial small subunit ribosomal RNA
Source: RNAcentral
AUUGAACGCUGGCGGCAGGCCUAACACAUGCAAGUCGAGCGGAUGAAGGGAGCUUGCUCCUGGAUUCAGCGGCGGACGGGUGAGUAAUGCCUAGGAAUCUGCCUGGUAGUGGGGGAUAACGUCCGGAAACGGGCGCUAAUACCGCAUACGUCCUGAGGGAGCAAGUGGGGGAUCUUCGGACCUCACGCUAUCAGAUGAGCCUAGGUCGGAUUAGCUAGUUGGUGGGGUAAAGGCCUACCAAGGCGACGAUACGUAACUGGUCUGAGAGGAUGAUCAGUCACACUGAAACUGAGACACGGUCCAGACUCCUACGGGAGGCAGCAGUGGGGAAUAUUGGACAAUGGGCGAAAGCCUGAUCCAGCCAUGCCGCGUGUGUGAAGAAGGUCUUCGGAUUGUAAAGCACUUUAAGUUGGGAGGAAGGGCAGUAAGUUAAUACCUUGCUGUUUUGACGUUACCAACAGAAUAAGCACCGGCUAACUUCGU